AGUGACAUGGUGGUACGAGAUGGUGUAAAAUUAGGUAGUGAAUUUGGCCCAGGCACAUUGGCUAUCCCAAAAAAUGUAGUAGUUCAAAAUUUCACCAGGAGAUGGUGUUAAAGCUUGACAUAGGGGUGACCUGAUGGAAAUGAACAAAUCUAACAAAUUAAAUAGUUAGCAAUUGGGAGGACACGACCUGUUCAAACACGUAGAUACGCACAAUUUUGGAAUAUGAAUCUGCUAUGCCAUAAUUUUAAGAUGCAACAGCUUGAGCAAUAUCAAUAUAUGUGUUUAGGUUGGAAGAACCCAUUAUUGUGUUAAGUACUAUUAUGUGUUGAGAUUGAUCUUUAUUAGACAAGAUAUAUGUGAUUCAUGUUGCAAUGUUUUGUCCAACCUGUAUUUAACAUUGGUGUUCCAUCCAUACCUGAAGGCAUUAAGUUGAGAGGAGACUUAAGGGCUGAUACUAGAAGUAAAGAGCGAGCAAAACAGGAAACACCUGUUUCCGGUGAUUGCUGCUUGAAGCAAGGUUGCCAAGACAACCAGUGGUUUCUAGCCGGCCUGGACAGGCAUCAGCUAAGGAACAUUCUCGAAACUUCUAGAAACUUCCAGGGAGGCCACCUGACGUACCUGAUGAUGUCAUUCCAAUGAGGUAAUACCAGAAGCCUAUAAAUAGGUUGCCCGGACACAGAGCGGGCGCUUCUUCCUAGUCAGGGCGAUGGCCGUGACGCUGCCCGGAGUAAAAGAACGAAGAUGGAUUUUGCAUUCUUUUUGAGAUUGAACCAAAAUCUACUAAGAUGAAUUUCCAGAAUCUUCGAAUUGGACUUUGUCAAAUUUUAAGCUUUGAGGAAAGCAGAGGAGAGAGCCGAUCCUGGCAGAAAGGGGAAGUUGCCACUUUUACUUUCUCCUCAUGGCCAGACCUUUCCUCUUUUUUAAACAGAAUUCGGAUUUUGGAACAAAGGAGAGCCGAUCACUCGACUUGUUCAACCAAAUAGGAUUUUAGACCUUUAGUCUCCUCUCUUGUUCUGUCUGGGCCCCUUCUGCUUUGAUGUGCAAGAUGCCCCCCCUGUGCUUCAAAUGGAACUCAUUGACCUGCAGUGCAACUCUGAACUCAAAGCCAAGUUCAGGGAGGACAUACUUGUGUGAAAAGCUCUUCUCUACCUUGAACUUCAAUAAGUCCAAGUACAGGUCCAGACUAACAGAUGAGCAUCUUCAAGCCCUACUGAGGGUCUCGACUGCCUCCUCCCUUAAGCCAAAUGUGGCUCGGCUAUGCAAGAGGAAGCGCUGCCAGGUCUCUAGCAGUAAAAAGUAGGCAGAAGAAGCCAUGUUCAUAACAGUUUAUGUUCAAUGUUCCAUUCAUGUUCAGAAAGUUACAGGUUAAAGAGCUGUUAAUACAGACAUUUGAAUCUGAAUAAUAAUUACAUUUCUCUAGUCAGCAACUAUAUUUGGUUUAUUUAGUCUUCUAUAUCUGCUGAAUUAUUAUUGUUAUCAUUUUAUUUCUUACUGAUUUAUUUUUUCCUUAUGAGUUGUUAAUUUAUUUAAAUUUUCUAAGACAAAAAAGGAUGAAUAAACAAAGACAUUUGAUAACACUGGAAUGUUUUUGUGAAAAACCUGCUGCGGCCCAGCCUCACCCAGAAUCUACGUCCAGCGGCCCCCGGGUAAAUUGAGUUUGAGACCCCUGCUUUAAAGGAAUGAUACUUUUUAGAUGUGUAGCUUAUUUGCCGCCAUGGAGGUAAUGGUUACUGACUCUAGAGUGAGUUUACAACGUGAUGACCCACAUUAGUAGUCAGCAAAACUUGUUGUUAGCUCGGUAGUUGUGGUGUAAGUAUUUAAAUCGUUUGUCAUAUUACAUGCUCAAACACAGUCAGCGGACGGUAACACACUUUUAAGAGAAGACAAAAGGAUGGAGUCUGACGACACUGGGAAAAGCGGCUUGUUAGGGUUUACAGAUUAUCUUGAUCGUAUGAUUAUGUUGGAAUGUAACCUGUAAUAAUUAACCUAGCUUGUCCUGUCUUAACAAAAGUAGUAGAACAAAGUGCUAAGAUCUUUUGAACUGAUUGACUAACUGCAGAGGAAGCAAUCAGUGUUGCUUUGUUUACACGUCGUAAAAGACCCCCUCCUAUGCUUUGAU
Long non-coding RNA from Syngnathus typhle (broad-nosed pipefish), 2119 nucleotides. RefSeq lists it as uncharacterized. The record is from RefSeq and is a predicted model, not a curated record. NCBI's taxonomy places the organism in Eukaryota, Metazoa, Chordata, Actinopteri, Syngnathiformes, Syngnathidae. The transcript has 3 exons.